This 497-nucleotide ribosomal RNA is filed under the name uncultured bacterium. Its description in RNAcentral is "partial 16S ribosomal RNA". It matches the Rfam family "Bacterial small subunit ribosomal RNA", at positions 28 to 507 of the family's 1533-position model. The record is from RNAcentral.
GAUGAACGCUGGCGGCGUGCCUAAUACAUGCAAGUCGAGCGAACAGACGAGGAGCUUGCUCCUCUGACGUUAGCGGCGGACGGGUGAGUAACACGUGGAUAACCUACCUAUAAGACUGGGAUAACUUCGGGAAACCGGAGCUAAUACCGGAUAAUAUAUUGAACCGCAUGGUUCAAUAGUGAAAGACGGUUUUGCUGUCACUUAUAGAUGGAUCCGCGCCGCAUUAGCUAGUUGGUAAGGUAACGGCUUACCAAGGCGACGAUGCGUAGCCGACCUGAGAGGGUGAUCGGCCACACUGGAACUGAGGCACGGUCCAGACUCCUACGGGAGGCAGCAGUAGGGAAUCUUCCGCAAUGGGCGAAAGCUUGACGGAGCAACGCCGCGUGAGUGAUGAAGGUCUUCGGAUCGUAAAACUCUGUUAUUAGGGAAGAACAAAUGUGUAAGUAACUAUGCACGUCUUGACGGUACCUAAUCAGAAAGCCACGGCUAACUACGUG